AAGCAGCCACGGGAAUACGGAGGGUGCAAGCGUUAAUCGGAAUUACUGGGCGUAAAGCGCACGCAGGCGGUCUGUCAAGUCAGAUGUGAAAUCCCCGGGCUUAACCUGGGAACUGCAUUUGAAACUGGCAGGCUAGAGUCUUGUAGAGGGGGGUAGAAUUCCAGGUGUAGCGGUGAAAUGCGUAGAGAUCUGGAGGAAUACCGGUGGCGAAGGCGGCCCCCUGGACAAAGACUGACGCUCAGGUGCGAAAGCGUGGGGAGCAAACAGGAUUAGAUACCCCGGUAGUCCCUGUCUCUUAUAC
Molecule: ribosomal RNA, 301 nt
Filed under: uncultured bacterium
Lineage: Bacteria
Description: partial 16S ribosomal RNA
Rfam family: Bacterial small subunit ribosomal RNA
Source: RNAcentral